This 2089-nucleotide ribosomal RNA is filed under the name Staphylococcus aureus. Its description in RNAcentral is "bacterial LSU rRNA". It matches the Rfam family "Bacterial large subunit ribosomal RNA", at positions 735 to 2830 of the family's 2925-position model. The record is from RNAcentral. Lineage: Bacteria; Bacillati; Bacillota; Bacilli; Caryophanales; Staphylococcaceae.
CUUGGUCAGGUUGAAGUUCAGGUAACACUGAAUGGAGGACCGAACCGACUUACGUUGAAAAGUGAGCGGAUGAACUGAGGGUAGCGGAGAAAUUCCAAUCGAACCUGGAGAUAGCUGGUUCUCUCCGAAAUAGCUUUAGGGCUAGCCUCAAGUGAUGAUUAUUGGAGGUAGAGCACUGUUUGGACGAGGGGCCCCUCUCGGGUUACCGAAUUCAGACAAACUCCGAAUGCCAAUUAAUUUAACUUGGGAGUCAGAACAUGGGUGAUAAGGUCCGUGUUCGAAAGGGAAACAGCCCAGACCACCAGCUAAGGUCCCAAAAUAUAUGUUAAGUGGAAAAGGAUGUGGCGUUGCCCAGACAACUAGGAUGUUGGCUUAGAAGCAGCCAUCAUUUAAAGAGUGCGUAAUAGCUCACUAGUCGAGUGACACUGCGCCGAAAAUGUACCGGGGCUAAACAUAUUACCGAAGCUGUGGAUUGUCCUUUGGACAAUGGUAGGAGAGCGUUCUAAGGGCGUUGAAGCAUGAUCGUAAGGACAUGUGGAGCGCUUAGAAGUGAGAAUGCCGGUGUGAGUAGCGAAAGACGGGUGAGAAUCCCGUCCACCGAUUGACUAAGGUUUCCAGAGGAAGGCUCGUCCGCUCUGGGUUAGUCGGGUCCUAAGCUGAGGCCGACAGGCGUAGGCGAUGGAUAACAGGUUGAUAUUCCUGUACCACCUAUAAUCGUUUUAAUCGAUGGGGGGACGCAGUAGGAUAGGCGAAGCGUGCGAUUGGAUUGCACGUCUAAGCAGUAAGGCUGAGUAUUAGGCAAAUCCGGUACUCGUUAAGGCUGAGCUGUGAUGGGGAGAAGACAUUGAGUCUUCGAGUCGUUGAUUUCACACUGCCGAGAAAAGCCUCUAGAUAGAAAAUAGGUGCCCGUACCGCAAACCGACACAGGUAGUCAAGAUGAGAAUUCUAAGGUGAGCGAGCGAACUCUCGUUAAGGAACUCGGCAAAAUGACCCCGUAACUUCGGGAGAAGGGGUGCUCUUUAGGGUUAACGCCCAGAAGAGCCGCAGUGAAUAGGCCCAAGCGACUGUUUAUCAAAAACACAGGUCUCUGCUAAACCGUAAGGUGAUGUAUAGGGCUGACGCCUGCCCGGUGCUGGAAGGUUAAGAGGAGUGGUUAGCUUCUGCGAAGCUACGAAUCGAAGCCCCAGUAAACGGCGGCCGUAACUAUAACGGUCCUAAGGUAGCGAAAUUCCUUGUCGGGUAAGUUCCGACCCGCACGAAAGGCGUAACGAUUUGGGCACUGUCUCAACGAGAGACUCGGUGAAAUCAUAGUACCUGUGAAGAUGCAGGUUACCCGCGACAGGACGGAAAGACCCCGUGGAGCUUUACUGUAGCCUGAUAUUGAAAUUCGGCACAGCUUGUACAGGAUAGGUAGGAGCCUUUGAAACGUGAGCGCUAGCUUACGUGGAGGCGCUGGUGGGAUACUACCUAGCUGUGUUGGCUUUCUAACCCGCACCACUUAUCGUGGUGGGAGACAGUGUCAGGCGGGCAGUUUGACUGGGGCGGUCGCCUCCUAAAAGGUAACGGAGGCGCUCAAAGGUUCCCUCAGAAUGGUUGGAAAUCAUUCAUAGAGUGUAAAGGCAUAAGGGAGCUUGACUGCGAGACCUACAAGUCGAGCAGGGUCGAAAGACGGACUUAGUGAUCCGGUGGUUCCGCAUGGAAGGGCCAUCGCUCAACGGAUAAAAGCUACCCCGGGGAUAACAGGCUUAUCUCCCCAAGAGUUCACAUCGACGGGGAGGUUUGGCACCUCGAUGUCGGCUCAUCGCAUCCUGGGGCUGUAGUCGGUCCCAAGGGUUGGGCUGUUCGCCCAUUAAAGCGGUACGCGAGCUGGGUUCAGAACGUCGUGAGACAGUUCGGUCCCUAUCCGUCGUGGGCGUAGGAAAUUUGAGAGGAGCUGUCCUUAGUACGAGAGGACCGGGAUGGACAUACCUCUGGUGUACCAGUUGUCGUGCCAACGGCAUAGCUGGGUAGCUAUGUGUGGACGGGAUAAGUGCUGAAAGCAUCUAAGCAUGAAGCCCCCCUCAAGAUGAGAUUUCCCAACUUCGGUUAU